GACGAACGCUGGCGGCGUGCUUAACACAUGCCAGUCGAACGGAAAGGCCCUGCUUUUGUGGGGUGCUCGAGUGGCGAACGGGUGAGUAACACGUGAGUAACCUGCCCUUGACUUUGGGAUAACUUCAGGAAACUGGGGCAAAUACCGGAUAGGAGCUCCUGCUGCAUGGUGGGGGUUGGAAAGUUUCGGCGGUUGGGGAUGGACUCGCGGCUUAUCAGCUUGUUGGUGGGGUAGUGGCUUACCAAGGCUUUGACGGGUAGCCGGCCUGAGAGGGUGACCGGCCACAUUGGGACUGAGAUACGGCCCAGACUCCUACGGGAGGCAGCAGUGGGGAAUAUUGCACAAUGGGCGGAAGCCUGAUGCAGCAACGCCGCGUGCGGGAUGACGGCCUUCGGGUUGUAAACCGCUUUCGCCUGUGACGAAGCGUGAGUGACGGUAAUGGGUAAAGAAGCACCGGCUAACUACGUG
RNAcentral lists this ribosomal RNA (468 nucleotides) under uncultured bacterium. RNAcentral's name for it is "partial 16S ribosomal RNA". It matches the Rfam family "Bacterial small subunit ribosomal RNA", at positions 28 to 507 of the family's 1533-position model. The record is from RNAcentral.